AUAUUGAUUUGGCAGAUUAGUGCAUUAAAUUUAGAAUUUAAAUAUGUAUAGUUACAAUCAAUA
Molecule: transfer RNA, 63 nt
Filed under: Ptomaphagus hatchi
Lineage: Eukaryota; Metazoa; Arthropoda; Insecta; Coleoptera; Leiodidae
Also listed under: 2 other names
Description: tRNA-Leu
Source: RNAcentral